Molecule: long non-coding RNA, 468 nt
Filed under: Rattus norvegicus (Norway rat)
Lineage: Eukaryota; Metazoa; Chordata; Mammalia; Rodentia; Muridae
Description: long non-coding RNA NONRATT032876
Source: RNAcentral
CUCAGGUUCUGGAGGCCGCGGUCGACUCCACAGGGAGACCUUAAAACCUCAAGUUCUGCAGCUGUAUUAGUCAUAAACAACAACAAUAGUAAUGAUAAUUCUUUCCCACGUCUACGGAAACUUGCAGGCGCAUACUUCAGUGCUUCCCCGAAUAUGAUCUGGUGAAACUGACAGCCUCCAGUUUACCCCUGAAGGACCUUGGCUGAAGAAAGGGUGAGUGACUUGGCUCGAACGACGGCGCACGUCACUGCACAGCCAGAAAUAACAUCGCGGGGCUACGUAGCUUUGUUGUCAUAGUUUGUUAUCUUUCACAAAAGGCAAUGAGGCCUAAUGAAUUCAUGUGAACCCUCACGGCACGGCACGGGGGUCAGGUUUUGGGGAAUUGAUGGUGUGAAUCCUGCUCUCAGCCAGGGAAAUUUGGCUCGGACUUUCGGUGACUGGCUUCAGAAACAGUUACCUGGAGACUGA